This is a non-coding RNA of Anas platyrhynchos (mallard), 1678 nucleotides long. The record is from RefSeq and is a predicted model, not a curated record. Lineage: Eukaryota; Metazoa; Chordata; Aves; Anseriformes; Anatidae.
UUGGCUGUGUAAGGUAUUCACAACAGAAUAAAGCAAAAUUCCUGCUCCCACCUUAGCAUAGCAGGCAGAUUGGCUGCUGAGGUUUCUUUAGCUGCAUGUUUCAUGGUCCUCUUGUUCGGCCCUGAAGCUUCCCUGAUAUCAGGAACUUUCAUCUACAGUGGUGCAUUGGCAGUUUUCAUGGGAUCUCCAGGAUCACCCUCACCAUGACUCACGCUGCAGGCUUCUUCACUGCUAUAAAAUCCAAAUUUGCUGCACUCACCAGGGUCCCUACAACCUCUGGGAUCUUUAAAGCCAGUCCUGUGAAGCUCUCACACCUUCUGCAGCCUAUUUGUUGUCCACCACCGAGAUCUCCUUAGACUUGAACAGAGAUCAAAGGCAAGUUCUGAUUUCAGAAAAGCUAUUGAAUUAUUUAUUUUAUUUUAUUUUAUUUUAUUUUAUUUUAUUUUAUUUUAUUUUAUUUUAUUGUAUACUUAUUGCUGUUGCUACUGAUGCUCUGAUGCUGCAUGUGUUUGAAGUCCCUUUAUCUCACCAGCAGCAGAAAAGGCAGAAACAAAGACCCAAAGUGCUGGACCUCCGGGGCUGCAUCUUCAGCUUGUUCCAGCUGAGAACACCUGGGUGUUGGCUCAAACACGAGGGGGAGCGGUGCUGCCCGUCUUCUGGAAGAGGCAGUAUCACCUUCCUUUCUUCUCACUAUUAUUCAGUCCACUAAAAGGUUGCUAUUAGAAUUGUGCCCCAUGAGAGCACAGAGAUCAGUGGCGCCGUGCGACCUGUAAUUCUUCAUGUGCUGGAGACAGGAAGAAAUUCAGUGUGAUAAUAGUGUCUGCAAAUCCCUGGGAUGACAGGCAGGGUGUAUUCGUCUGAGUGUAUGCAGGCGUCUUGCAUGGCGAUGUCUCCAUUUGCGCUAAUACCCCUGCCCCGGGCUGCCUGUAGAGCCAGAAGAGAGCUAAUUGAUGCAGUCAGGAGAGUCUAGCGCUUGAUGCAUUUCAUGCUAAAUUAGGCGUCUGUGUUUGGUCAGAUGAAUCACCCAAUGGAAAUGUUGGUUUCUUUCCAUGAAAUGAGCCCCCAGCAACCAGCUCGCAUGAGUUCUGCGUGGGAGACUUCAGAACUGAGACAAAGUCGAUCCCACCCCGUUACAGCCGAGAGCUUAGAACUCGUCCCUUUGCCUCUGAACCAUAUGGGGCAGCGUCACCCUUUGUCAGCCCUAGUGCCACUGGAGCAGAGGUAGUUUAUAUCUGGAAUAGAUAUGGAUCUGGCAGAGCACAGCCCUGAUUGCAGUCCCACUGAGCCCACGUAGGACAAGGUCAGCACGGGCAUCUGUCCUCGUUCCGUGCGGUGACCUGGGAGGAGCAAGCAGGAGGAGCUCAUGGUGGGGAGUGAAGCUUCGGGCUGGCACCCUUGUCAUGCAGGAGGCUGUGCAAUGCUCAGAAGCAUUUGGGGGGCAUUUGGCAAGCUUUGAGAUCAGCUGGUACUUAAGCAAAGAGCACCUUGAGCUAUAAAAUACCUAAGGGCAAUGUCAUUAAGGAGCUAAAUAGAAUAAACACCACUGGACUCCUGGCAUCUGAGUCCCACCACGCCCCAAGCUCUCUGCAGAGAAUCCAGAGAUCAGUUUGGCCCUUUCUCUGCCCAUGGACACACAGGCAGCAAAAGAGCACUUCUUUCCCCACUUUGUACUUUCAUU